RNAcentral lists this ribosomal RNA (1007 nucleotides) under Trichuris suis (pig whipworm). RNAcentral's name for it is "large subunit ribosomal RNA". The record is from RNAcentral. Lineage: Eukaryota; Metazoa; Nematoda; Enoplea; Trichinellida; Trichuridae.
AUUACUUUUGCAUGUUUCAUUAUACUUCCUUUUGCAUCAGGAUUAAUCAAAAAUAAGAAAAAUUUCUACAAAAGAAAAAUAUCGACCUAAAAAAACAUUAUAAAUAUAUUACAUAGAUCAAUAAUGUUUUUUUAUUCGUUACAUGCAUUAUGCUAUUAGAUACCUUUUUAUUCUUCUCUUUACGGAUAAACAUAAAUGAAAAACUUUUUAUUUAUAUUUUAACUUAGACUAACAGUAGGAUUAGAAGUAACCAAACUAACUUUUUGUAGUAAAACAUUACAUUAUUAAAUAAUUAAUUAUUUGACACUUGUUUUAAAUAAAUUGAUUUAAAAUUACAAUGACUAAGUAAGUACAUAAUCUAAAAAUCUUUAAUUAAAAUUCAGCACAUAAUAUACUACUGUUUAAUAAAAACAUUGUAAUAUAUUUAUAUUAUAAUUCUCCUGCCCAAUGAUUUAUAUUAAAUGGCCGCAGUAACCUGACUGUGCUAAGGUAGCAUAAUCAUUUGUUUAAUAAAUUUAAACUAGAAUGAAAGGAAAAAAGUAUAUUAACUGUUAAUUACAAAUUUUUUGAAAUCCUUUUUAAAGUGCAAAAACUUUAAUUAGUAACAUAAACGAGAAGACCCUAAAAAUUUUAAUCUAUUUUAUUGGGACAAUACUAUUAUAUAAUUAUUAUAUGUCAAACAUUAACUAUGCUAAUUAAUCAAAUAAAAUUACUUUAGGGAUAACAGCAUAAUAACUAUAAAGAGACCUAAUCUAAAUAGUUGCUUGUGACCUCGAUGUUGAAUCAUUUUAACAAAACUUGCAAAAGAGUUUUACCUAUCGUCUGUUCGACGAUUCUACAUUACGUGAUUUGAGUUUAAACCGUUGAAAAACAGGUUGGAUUCUCUUUUGUUACUUUAAAUCUCAUUUAAAUUCAGUACGAAAGGACAAAUUUAAUAAAUCCGUCUAUCUAUAAAACAUGAUAAAAUUUCGAUAUAUUAUAGUAAUACUAUUUGGCGUGAGAAUUCU